GUCUACGGCCAUACCACCCUGAACAAACCUGAUCCCGUCUGAUCUCAGACACUAAGCAGGGUCGGGCCUGGUUAGUACUUGGAUGGGAGACCACCUAGGAAGACCACGUGCUGUAGGCA
This 119-nucleotide ribosomal RNA is filed under the name Pteropus alecto (black flying fox). The record is from RNAcentral. Lineage: Eukaryota; Metazoa; Chordata; Mammalia; Chiroptera; Pteropodidae.